Molecule: long non-coding RNA, 2653 nt
Organism: Brassica napus (rape)
Lineage: Eukaryota; Viridiplantae; Streptophyta; Magnoliopsida; Brassicales; Brassicaceae
Exons: 4
Source: RefSeq, a predicted model, not a curated record
GUUUUGGAGUCAGAUAGUACUGUUGUGAUGUUGUAGGUGAUAUCAAAGCUCACGGAUGUGAAGGCUUCGCAUGUACCAUACAGAGACUCUAAGUUAAUAAGAAUCCUUCAGUCCUCACUGAGUGGUCAUGACCGAGUAUCUCUCAUUUGUACAGUAACUCCUGCAUCAAGAAUUUCGGAAGAAACACACAACACAUUGAAAUUUGCUCAUCGUGCAAAGCAUAUUGAGAUUCAAGCCAAGCAAAACAAGAUAACUGAUGAGAAAUCAUUAAUCAAGAAGUACCAACACGAGAUUCGGAAACUGAAGGAGGAGUUGGAACAGCUUAAACAGGGCACUGUACCAGUUCCUCAGCUGAAGGAUAUGGGUGCACAUGAUACUAUUCUCCUGAAGCAGAAGCUAGAAGAUGGUCAAGUCAAGCUACAAUCGAGACUCGAAGAAGAGGAAGAAGCUAGAGCAGCUCUCUCGAGUCGAAUCCAACAGUUGACAAAACUAAUAUUGGUGUCGACUAAAACUUCACAGACAUAUCGCUUACCUCAUCGCUUUAAUCCUCGGAGAAAACACUCAUUUGAGGAAGAAGAGGUAGAAUCACUGAUAUAACCUGGAUAAUAUAAAUUGUCUCAUGGUUCACUUUUUGGUUAAUCUUGGUUGAUAAUGUGUGUGUGUGUGUGUGUAGCUUGCUUACUUACCAUACAAGAGGCGGGACUUAAUGGACGAUGAGGACAUUGAUAUGUAUGUUUCUGUGGAGGGAAGUCAUGAGAUUAGAGAAGAAAAGAAGAGCCGGAAGCAUGGGUUGUUAAAUUGGUUAAAGCCUAAGGUAUACAAAUGUCUGACUUUUUGUUUAAAGAAUAAUGCUAUAAAUAAUAGUAGAAAUCACACACACAGCCUUGUCUCCUCUUAGGUGCAGUUUCUUCUUUUAAUUAUUCUCUGGUCCCCUUUGUUGAUCCGAACUUACUUUUACCUAUCAGAAAAGGGAUAACAGCUCAAGUGCUAGCGACCAGUCGAGUGUGGUAAAAUCUAACAGCACGCCAUCGACUCCUCAAGGAGGAGGAAGUAAUCUUUAUACAGAAUCAAGACUUUCAGAAGGCUCGCCUUUGAUGGAACAACUCUCAGAGUCUAGAGAAGACAGAGAACCUCCUGAAGACAUGGAGACUCUGGAGGUACAUAAGAGAUACUUUCACAUCUCUGUAAUGUCGCCAAAGUAACUAUAUCAUUCAUAUGUGCUCUUGUUCCCAGGCUAGCAAUAAAAUCAUCGAUGAGUUGGAUCUUAUGAGGGAACAUAAAAAGAUUUUAUCGGAGGAGGCGGCGUUGCAGUCAAGUUCUUUGAAACGGUUGUCAGAUGAAGCUGUGAAAUCCCCUCAAAAUGAAGAGAUUAAAGUAAUAUAAUCACUCCCUGUUCAUGAUCUUUGUCUAGCUGUAUUCUAAAUCAACCAAAUAUUCACCUUCCUGGUUCUAUAUGUUACUUAGGUGGAGAUUAAAGACCUUCAUGAUGGCAUCAAGGCAAAGAAUGGCCAGAUUGCCACCUUGGAGAAACAAAUCGUGGAUUAUGUUGUGACAUCACAUGAGGCAUUGGAUAAAUCUGACAUCGUGCAAGUAAGUUCACAUUGCCAAGUACUGUACACUGAUUUUUUUUUGUCGUUCAUUUCUCAAGCGAUUCUUCAGUGUCUUCAAGCAGUUGCUGAGCUUAGGGAUCAACUUAAUGAGAGAUCUUUUGAACUCGAGGCGAUCUCAUCGAUUUGUUUAUGUUAUAUGCAGCACUUAUUCAUCUAUUGCUUCAGCUCUUUAGAGGGGAAAAAGGCUUUUUCACACCCCAACAAUUUACGUCGUGCCUUUUUAGACCCAAACAAAACAUAAGUGCGAAAUCAUUCCUGAACUAAGAUUUUUUUUAAAAAAAUUCAACCCAAACUUGACUCUGUAACAUGAAAUCCUACUUUGACUAACUUAUCGUUAGUCAACCGUUAAACCAUGCUUAGUCGGAUAAGGGAAAAAUGAUGAUUUCAACCUGGACAAUUUUGGUCGUGCCUUUUCAAACCUGAACAAUGAGUAAGUGUAAUUUCAUACCCAAACUUAACAAUAAUUUGAAUUUCAUACCCGAACUUUAAAAUUAACAUAAAAACUACUUUGACUGAUGUUUGGUUAGUCAACCUUUAACUAAACUCAUUAAAAAACACUCACUAUAAAUCGUACCCCCACUUAGCGAAGCCCUAAACUAAGCAUUAAACCACUGGACUAAGACAAAUUUUGGAAAAUCUACAUAUAUACUAAAUUAUAUAGGUAAAGAAAUCACUAGCUUCUUCUCCAUGUGGCUAUAUCUCUCUCUCAGUUGUCAAUUUCAGAAGUUUCAGUCUUUAGGAAGUUCUAUUUUUGAUAGUAGUGAACAUUUUAAAAUCACAUGAGAAUGUAACGUUGGGAGCCAAAAAGAUUAGCUCAGGCUAUAACACGUAGACAAGAGCGGAGAUUAGUUUCUUCGUCUAAAAUGGAUUAGCAUGAACAGAGGCAUUAUCAAGCCCAAUAAAUCGAAUCCAUUUGAUUAGGGAUCGAUCCGCGACGAAUCUGUGAGCAAACCUAGUAUCGAGAAGAAGUAAAACAAUGGUGUAACAUGAAAGUAGAUAUAAAUUAGUAUAUAUGUAAAUAUGACAAAAGUUACUGACCUGAU